AGAUCCUGUUCGGAGCCUGAGUUUUGGAGCAGGCUGGAUCCAGAAGAAGUUCCACAGGGAGAAGCCAUGAAAGCUAUGGUCUUUUCAGGUAAAAUUUGAGUUCUUCAAGUAGUCUAUUUUGAUGCUAGUGCUUCAGGAAAGACUAUAUCUUGGCUGGAAAUAUAGCUGAACGGUAUAGGUAUAUAGCAAGAUUAAUUCUCAGUAAAGGACUCAGGGAACAAGUUCAUGAGAACACAUAGAACCAGUAGAGGAAGACAACAGAGAAGGACUGAACGAGAUGGGUCCUGCGCCUAAGAGUGGAACUUAUCAUAAACCCAG
This 318-nucleotide long non-coding RNA is filed under the name Musa acuminata (dwarf banana). RNAcentral describes it as "long non-coding RNA (MACU_LNC001869)". The record is from RNAcentral. Lineage: Eukaryota; Viridiplantae; Streptophyta; Magnoliopsida; Zingiberales; Musaceae.